UGGAGCAUGUGGUUUAAUUCGAUGCAACGCGAAGAACCUUACCUGGUCUUGACAUCCACGGAAGUUUUCAGAGAUGAGAAUGUGCCUUCGGGAACCGUGAGACAGGUGCUGCAUGGCUGUCGUCAGCUCGUGUUGUGAAAUGUUGGGUUAAGUCCCGCAACGAGCGCAACCCUUAUCCUUUGUUGCCAGCGGUCCGGCCGGGAACUCAAAGGAGACUGCCAGUGAUAAACUGGAGGAAGGUGGGGAUGACGUCAAGUCAUCAUGGCCCUUACGACCAGGGCUACACACGUGCUACAAUGGCGCAUACAAAGAGAAGCGACCUCGCGAGAGCAAGCGGACCUCAUAAAGUGCGUCGUAGUCCGGAUUGGAGUCUGCAACUCGACUCCAUGAAGUCGGAAUCGCUAGUAAUCGUGGAUCAGAAUGCCACGGUGAAUACGUUCCCGGGCCUUGUACACACCGCCCGUCACACCAUGGGAGUGGGUUGCAAAAGAAGUAGGUAGCUUAACCUUCGGGAGGGCGCUUACCACUUUGUGAUUCAUGACUGGGGUGAAGUCGUAACAAGGUAACCGUAGGGGAACCUGCGGUUGGAUCAC
RNAcentral lists this ribosomal RNA (593 nucleotides) under Escherichia coli. Its description in RNAcentral is "bacterial SSU rRNA". It matches the Rfam family "Bacterial small subunit ribosomal RNA", at positions 933 to 1526 of the family's 1533-position model. Lineage: Bacteria; Pseudomonadati; Pseudomonadota; Gammaproteobacteria; Enterobacterales; Enterobacteriaceae. RNAcentral also lists the same sequence under 1 other name. The record is from RNAcentral.